Molecule: transfer RNA, 64 nt
Filed under: Haploginglymus sp. JP-2016
Lineage: Eukaryota; Metazoa; Arthropoda; Malacostraca; Amphipoda; Niphargidae
Description: tRNA-Tyr
Source: RNAcentral
AGCCAGAUAGUGUAAGAGAUAACAUAGUAAGUUGUAAACUUAAAGAUAAAGUUCAUUCUGGUUA